This 3960-nucleotide unclassified non-coding RNA is filed under the name Leishmania donovani. Its description in RNAcentral is "gene:LdHU3.17.0740(CDS-product:Ring_finger_domain _containing_protein_putative)". The record is from RNAcentral. Lineage: Eukaryota; Euglenozoa; Kinetoplastea; Trypanosomatida; Trypanosomatidae.
CGGGCUUUCUUUUCUCGUUAGUCGCGCGUUGCCACUGGUAGGGGAUCACACACCCACCCUCUAUCUCUGCGGACUCUCGCUCUCUCCGUCACUCGGUCAGGCAGGCACACCCAUACACACGCACACGCAUACAAGCGCUCGCAUUUUUUUUUCCCUUGAGUACUGCCCCAUUGAAGAUAGAAAACAAAAAGGGCACGCGCUCUCUCUGCUUCGAGGUCACCUGCACCCUUCCACCCUCCUCCACCUCUCGUGCGGCUUAUACAUAUAUUUCUGUUUUCGUUGUCGCCGUCACCGUCAUUAGCUCACGCUGUGGUCCGUUGUUGUGCUAUCCGCGUCGCGGCCCAUAGCACACCGCCAUCGGAUUUUGCUUGUUCCCCCCCCCCCCCCCCCGUGCCCUUGAAUAGGCCAACGUGUGUCCAUAGGCCUGCGUGCAUAGGUGCAUGUGUGUGUGUGCCGCCCCUUCCCCUUCCCUUUCACGUUCGCACCCAUGAACUUCGCCGAGGCGUUUCGCGACGCCGUGGACGGGAUUUCCUACACGGGCGACGAGCUCAUCAACGCGCUCCGGGCAGCGCGAGCGCUGCUGGCGUCGCUUCCAGACGACAUCCACCUCGAGCAGAAAAAGCGAUUCGAUCGCCAGAACCGCCGGCUCUCGGGUGAGGUGAUCGAUAUUCCCGUCUCAGAGGGCGAGCUGUCCGAGGAGGACAAGGACGACGACGAUGAGGAGCGUGCCGAGAGGAGUCGUCGCACAGGAGCCGGCAAGGGAACCGCAGCGGACGCUGGCGCCAUUUCUGCCGCGGAUGAGGUUGCCGCGCCGCCAUCGCAGUUUUCCACUCCCGUCGCCCCGCCGCCAGCCGCCGCCGCCUCUGAGGGGGCCACUGAUGACGGAGCGGUUCAAUCAGUCGCGGUCACGCCACCAGCGGGUCAAGCUUCCAAUCUCGCCGCCAGCCGCGGAGGCCUCCGUGACGGCAGCGGCUUUCUGUCGCCUGCGUCGUUACAAAGUCGCAAUCCGCUGCUGCGGUCGGAGGCUACUUCUUGUGAUGCGUCAGGGGAGCCUGCCAAAACGCAUGGGCGGCGGCGGUACCGGGGCACGAGCUCGAAACAGCGACACAGAGCGUCCCCCAAGCCAUGGGACGACUGCGACGCUCGCCACACCUCGUCAGCGUCGAGCACAACGGCAUCGUCGCUGGCGUGCGAUGUGGAUGAUGAGAAGAGGGAGCGUGUGCGGCAGCUCGAGCUGUACGACCAGGCCCCGAGCGAGUGGCUGCACCAGUUCAUCUGCAUAGGAGCGAAGCUGUUCGGGGAGCAGAUGGAGGACUACUUUCGUGCCGUGCACACCUUGAUCUACUACAUGGCGGUACGGCGAAAGCGGGUGGAGCAGCGUUGCCAGUACUUGCGCAACCGUGCUGCGCAAGAGGGCACAGGGGGCGUCGAUGCGCCGCCCUCUGACGCUGCCGCGCGGGCCUUCGCAUAUACUUCCCACGGCAGCUGCGAGACGGCGGUAACAGCGGCACACGAGGACGGCGCCACCGCCUGUGCCAGCGAAGGAGAGGCGAAAAAUAUGGAAAACAGCGACGAUAAUGACGAUGAGGAUGAUGAGUUAGAGGGCUUUUACAUUUCGAGAGAGGUGAAGCGGAGCAUACGUGUGGGGCUGCCGGACAACGCCUUUCGCUUGCGUGACAGCGUCCAUAAGUUCUUCUUCUCGUGCUACGCGUCCGUCAUCAUCCAAGGCUCCGUGUCGGUGGCGCAGAUCAAGCAGGCGGGAGCCGAGGUUGUGCGCAUCUGCAGCUGUGUGCUGACAUGGCCACGCUACCCGCUGAACUUGCGGGCGCAGUGGGCGGACGACCGGGAGGAGCAGCUCCGGCAGUUUCUCAACAAGUGGCUGGGGGAAGCGAAUGGGCAUCUGGUGACACUCAUGAUGGUGCCUCCGGAGGCGCCGGCAACUGUGAGGCGUCGCGCAGGCGCACAGGGCGAAGUGGACGUUGACAACUCCACCACGGCACCGUCGUCGCCAUCGUCGGUGGAUGCGGAAAGCAUCAUGGCUGACGAUGGCAACUCCCGACAUGAAGGCAACGACGACAGCGAAGAUGAGGGCAGUGAGGCCGCCGUCGGCCCUAACAGCGCCAACGUGCCGCAGCAGAAGGUGUUUCUGGGGCCACAAACUCGCGGCGAGGACGCCGUCAAGAUGGCGUACGAGUUCGCGCGGAGCCCGGCGCCGUGCAGCACACCUCUUGCACGCUUGGUGGCGGACACAGUGCCAGAGAAGAACGUGGGCACGCUGCUUCCGUGCAUCGAGCAGCCGGAGCGCCGUACUUUCAACGACGGGUUCUGCCGCCUGGCACCCUCUCUGUCGCAGAAGGAGCUCGAGCUGAUCACGGAGCUGAUGCAGCUGCCGCUGACGGAGAUGCCGGUCGUGAAUGAAGAUGACAAGGGCAAUCAUGAUCAGCGUGCGUUGCAUGCGGCAGAGAAGGCGAUCGUGAAGCACUGGGCAUCGCCGACCUACGACCCGUGCGGGGGUGAGCUGACGGUUCUCAUCAACCCUACAAACGCGUUUCGCCUGCAACUCAGCAACCCGAUCAUCUUCUCCCUCGGCGGCGUGCAAUGUGACAUGUGUUGCGUGACAGAGCGUCGCGUCAGCUUUCAAGCCGUGCUCGACAGCGGCGUGCGCAGCGAGGUGGUGCUGGAGUACGAGGGCUGCAUCGGAUACGAUGUAUGCGUUGCAUGCAGCUACUAUUACUACAAGAGCAGCGAGAUGCGGCUGCUGCGCGCAGUGCACCCCAUCCCUCAUCUGCGCGCUCCGUUUGCCUUUGGUCGCUUCUCCAAGGUGAGGGUGCACUCCGUGCUCGCGUCCGCCUGCGAGGAGAGCGAGGGUGAUAUGACAGUGGAGGUGGUCAUGGGCAUUUCACCGUACGGCGUGAUGCCCGUCGGCUGGGUCCUUCCUGUGGAUCGGCUGGCCGAGCUGAGCGCUGCGUGCCCGAUGCUCGCCGAGGAGACGGAGCUGACCGCCGACGUGCACGCGAGUCUGCCUGUGCCUCCACAGGACUGGAAACAGCGCUGCUCCAUCGCCAAUAUCAGCAGCCUCUUGACGGAGACUGACGGGCGUUGCGACACUGCCGCCGCCGGGGAUGCUGCCACGAUGGCAAGUCGGCACGCGCUUGCGACUGGCAUGGCAAACGACCACCUGAUCGAUGAAGCGGAUGUGUGCCCGAUUUGUCUCCAGCUGCUGCACAGCCCGCUGCCGGUGUUGCGCACCCUGUGCGGCCAUUGUUUCCAUGUCGAGUGCAUCGGCUCGCAUUACCACUACAAGCCCGCUGUCGUAGACGGUGAGGUGAACGAGAACAACGGCUGCCCCGUGUGCCGGUGCAGCGACUACAUGCCACCCCUCACAGACGCAGAUGCGAUGGUAAGGACGAACGUGUACAAGCUCAUGCUGCGGGUGCCGGCUGACGAGGUCGCCAAGGGGCGCGGCGCGCGGGCGCGGGAGUGGGGCGGCGGGUGUGCCAUUGCAGUGGGGACCAUUUUGACAGACGACGGCGCGUACCACAAUGCCACAAAUAUUGCGUCCUGUGAGGCUUUUUACGGCGUGAUGCCGGGCUUUGCCUUUACCCGACACGCCACGGCCGGGGCAAGGGAGAUGGAGGCGGCCUCCCCUGCCGUGUCUUGAAGGGGCGGCGAUGGAGUGGUGGUGGUGGUGGUGGCAGCAGCAGCUGCAUGUGUGCUUCACAGCCACCAUAACAUGUUAAUAUAUAUAUAUAUAUAUAUUUAUGGACAACAAAACAACCCAAGCGGCGGAAAGUAAGACCCGCGAGAUGGAGAGAAUAGCACGCAGAUGCGCGAUGAGCGCAUGUGUGCUUUUCUGUGCACGCUUGCCCUUGUACGUAUUUCCAGCCGGCCUCUCUCUCUGUUUCACACACACGCCCACAAACACACACACCACACACACACACACACAAACACACACAG